CAUCCUGUGAUGAAGCUCUGCCCAGUGAUGGAGCACGUUAGUCCAAGAAUCACCACUCAACGUGUCCAACAACCUAAAAUCAGUGCUGCUCUCCCUCAAAGAGCUGGCUAAAGCUUAAACAAAAUGUAGGAAUUUUUUUUUUAAAUAAUGCGUGUAGUCCACUAAUGUUUUUGGAAAGACAAACCCUCUGGAGAAACAAGACAAAGCCUGUAUCGUGUUCCUGUGAUGUUCCUGCUGACUGACCUGAGGAUUUGGAGCAAGGCACUGAAAAUUCACCAUCAUUACAAUCCAGCACGGCUCAUUCAGUAAAAGCACAUUUCAGGAAAUCUGACAUUACUACCAAGGAAGUAUUGUCCACCAUGCAGGCUGAGCUGGUUCUUGCAAUCCUUUCACCUGCAGAAAGCCCCAGAUCCCUUUCCCAACCUGGAGGACUGAUGGCUUCAUUCUGCAAGGGCUGA
RNAcentral lists this long non-coding RNA (458 nucleotides) under Taeniopygia guttata (zebra finch). RNAcentral's name for it is "lncRNA (ENSTGUG00000028937.1)". The record is from RNAcentral. Lineage: Eukaryota; Metazoa; Chordata; Aves; Passeriformes; Estrildidae.